RNAcentral lists this ribosomal RNA (408 nucleotides) under uncultured bacterium. RNAcentral's name for it is "partial 16S ribosomal RNA". It matches the Rfam family "Bacterial small subunit ribosomal RNA", at positions 28 to 526 of the family's 1533-position model. The record is from RNAcentral.
GACGAACGCUGGCGGCGUGCUUAACACAUGCAAGUCGAACGAAGUGGCGAACGGGUGAGUAACGCGUAAUUAACCUGCCCUUCCGAGGGGGACAACAGUUGGAAACGACUGCUAAUACCGCAUACUGAAGGAGGGGAUUGCGUCUGAUUAGCUAGUGGGAGGGGUAACGGCCCACAAAGGCGAUGAACAGGAGCCGGUCUGCGAUGAUGAACGGCCACAUUGGGAAUGAGGCACUGGCCAGCCUCCUACGGGAGGCAGCAGGGGGGAAGCUUCCGCAAUGGACGAAAGUCGGACGGAGCAACGCCGCGUGAGUGAUGACGGCCUUCGGGUUGUAAAGCUCUGUUAAUCGGGACGCGGUACCGGAAUAGAAAGCCACGGCUAACUACGUGCCAGCAGCCGCGGUAAUAC